AAAUUAUUUAAUCAUUUAGCAACGGAUACAAGAGUUUUUGGGGCUAUAAAUACACCCCAAAACUCUCAUUUGAGACACAACAAUCUGAGCAAACAUCAUAUUCAAGCUUCCAAACAUUCUACAUUCAUUUCAUAUUUUUAAUUGCUUUUAAGAAGCCAUUUCUUGAAUUUAUUGUUGUGUUCUUGAGCGUACUUGUUUACUCAUAUCUACUCUAUAAAGAGAGUUCUAUUUAAGUGAGUGUAAGUGUUUUGUAUACACUUGAAGGGAAGUUUAUAAUCCCUUGUUGCUGUUAGAAGGANNNNNNNNGUGUAAGUGUUUUGUAUACACUUGAAGGGAAGUUUAUAAUCCCUUGUUGUUGUUAGAAGGAACGUUUUUAUUCCUUCUGUUGAAGUCUUGAAGUGCGGCAUCUUCGAGCAAGGUUGUUGAGGCUUGUGUGAUUCAAGUUCUCAAGUUGUAACAGUUUGUUGAGCACCCGCAAGCUUAACAGGAUUAGUUGAACCUCGAGAUUGUAUCUCGGGAGACUGUACGUAACCACAUUUGUGGCCAGCCAGUAUAAAUUCGGUGCACUUCCUCCUUACUCUUUUAUUUCCGCAUUUGAGUUAAUUUUU
This 608-nucleotide long non-coding RNA is filed under the name Nicotiana benthamiana. RNAcentral's name for it is "long non-coding RNA (NBEN_LNC021242)". Lineage: Eukaryota; Viridiplantae; Streptophyta; Magnoliopsida; Solanales; Solanaceae. The record is from RNAcentral.